This is a non-coding RNA of Caenorhabditis elegans, 92 nucleotides long. The record is from Ensembl. NCBI's taxonomy places the organism in Eukaryota, Metazoa, Nematoda, Chromadorea, Rhabditida, Rhabditidae.
AUAUAGAAAAAUUUUGAUCAUAUCUAUUAUUCAGCGUGAUAUUCCCAAUCCCAUCACCAUUUUUCAAAAUCUAACCUUCACAAUACACUUUU